CAAGAGCAUAAUAAUAAAUAUCGAUAUUAGUAUCAAUAUUAAUAUAUUCUUUUUUUUUUUUUCUCAUUUAAUAUCUCUCCAAAGGAGAUUAAUAAGAGGAAAAGGUGGAAUUGUUGAAGAAAGCACGAAUGAGUACGAUGGUACUUCGCCAAAAUCCGAUGGCAUCGCGCCAUUGACGACCAGCCGUUGUCGCGUCGUCGUCGUCGUCGUCGUCUUCAUCAUCUUUAUCAUCUUCGUUGUCGUCGUCGUCGUCGUCGUCGUCGUCGUACGUUUUAUCGAGCUUUACACCCACGCACGUCUCAUGUCAUUUCUCCCGAUUGUUUUCAUUUCUUUUCUAACUCUAUCUCUGUCUCUUUCUCUCUCUCCUUUUCUUUCUAACGUCUUUCUUUUUACCCUUAACCUAACCUAACUUUCUUUUUGUAUAUACAUAUAUAUAUAUAAAUAUACGUGUGUGCGUUUAUGUAUGUAUGUAUAUACAUAUAUAUAGGGAUAUAUAUUUUUAUAGAACGUAAAUACAUCGUAUGUCUAUUCGAGUUAAGCAAAAGUGAGGUUAAGUUUUCCCUUUCUUAUCUUUCUCGUGCGUAAUAUAAUGUUAUAUAUAACAUAUCUAUACGUAUACAUGUAUAUACAUAUGUAGUUGUAUAUAUAUAUAUAUAUAUAUAUAUAUAUAUAUGAGUUAUAAGUUUAGUCGUUCGUUCUGUCACGAAAAUUCAUCUAUAUCUCUCUCUCUUUCUCUUUUACUCUCUCCUUCCUUCUUUCUCUCUUUCUCUCUCUCUCUCUCUUUCUCUUUCUCCAUCUUUCUUUUACUCUAUCUUUUGUUUUUUUCAUACUUUAUCUCUUUCUAACGCUCUUAACGUGACGUCGUUUCUCCUGAUCGAACUCGCGCGUGUGUUCACAUUGUGUUCUUUUUCUUUGGUGGUGCGUGAUAAAGAAUAAGAAGAAGAAUAAAAA
Molecule: long non-coding RNA, 951 nt
Organism: Vespula pensylvanica (western yellowjacket)
Lineage: Eukaryota; Metazoa; Arthropoda; Insecta; Hymenoptera; Vespidae
Exons: 2
Source: RefSeq, a predicted model, not a curated record